Long non-coding RNA from Rosa rugosa (rugosa rose), 1379 nucleotides. RefSeq lists it as uncharacterized. The transcript is spliced from 4 exons. NCBI's taxonomy places the organism in Eukaryota, Viridiplantae, Streptophyta, Magnoliopsida, Rosales, Rosaceae. The record is from RefSeq and is a predicted model, not a curated record.
UCGCCAAAACGAAAGAAAUUCUCUCUCUCUCUCUCUCUCUCUCCCCGACUAGAAAACCCUUCCUCACCAUCUUGCUCAGCUCCGACAGCUCCUUUCCUCACCAUCUCGCUCGGCUCCGGCGGCACCCUUCCUCAACGCCAUCGCCGAUUCCAUCUCCAUUACCUUUCUCAGUCAAAGCGGACCCGAACGGAGAAGAGCCGGAGUAGAUUCUCACCAUCUCCGCGCACGAGGACAACGUCGUCAGAAAAUGGGUCAUCGAGGUCCCUAAAUCCACCGCCUCUAACACCAAUCCGGCUAUCUCACGAUCCCGCAGUGCAAGGCGAGAAGGAUGAAGGUGAAGCUGAUCUAGUCUGAUCGGCGUCUUCGAUACCCCCGCGUCGCUCAACUCCGGCGACCUUACGCUCCUCGUCGAGAUACGAGGUCGUCGAUGUCCUCUAAUUCAGCCUGAGCGGAUUCUAGAUCGCGUUCUUCGUCGUCGGGCCCGAGCACAAUCGGCCCUAAUUCGUCAUCGUCGUCGAGCUUCAGGAAGAUUUUGGUUUCAGAUCUAUAAGAGAUGGUCAUGAGGAUCUAAUGGUUGCCUUGUACCUGUCAAAAUUGUGAGCCAGACUCUUAUUUUUGUCACUCGGUCACGAAGCUGGUCCUUUUUAGAACGCCCUGGACUACUAUUACUCAGUGUUGUUGCCAUCGCCCAGCUGUUGAUAGAGUGGUAAGUUCACGGUGCAGCGGCAUGUUGCUGUUUCCAUCUAAAUACUAUAAGUAUCUGUUAAGUUCAACUCCUAUUGUGAAGCCUCCAUUGACCAUGAGGCCAUUUGGCAGGCCAAUAAGUAUUUGAAUGAAGUUUGCUGGUGGCGAUGGAAAGACCAUUCCUAUCAAGUGUGAUCAUUGUGGUGAGGUGAGGCAUCACAACAAGAAAACAUAUACGACACCGAUCUGAAAAUUGACAAUAGCAGUUCAACAAUCGGAGUAUCUUUUUACAGAAGUUGAAGUAUCUUUUUACAGAAGUUGAAGUAGCUUUUUACAACAUUGAGUGUAGCUUUUCAAAUCAUUUGGAAUUAUCGACAAAUUCUUCCCUUUUGCAUUUGUAGUAGUAGAUUUUGAAAAUCAUGUGAAUUUGGAUAUUGAAGCCUUCAUUGACCAACAGAUCAUUCAGCUACCAAGAAAUGUUGAAAUGAAGUCUCGUGUUGAAGGUGGCAAAAUUAUGCCCAUCGGUUUAGAGUGUGAGGAUUGAAAAAUGACAGUAGCAUUAUUCAACUAUUGUAAUAAAUUUUCAUAACUAUGGUACUGACUUUUUACAAUUAUGAAAGUAGCUUUUUACAUAAUUAUAUCAUUGUUAAACCCUGCAUACUUUUUGUAUCAUCUAAUAUGUUUUAUUUUCUCUA